AGAGUUUGAUUCUGGCUCAGACUGAACGCUGACGGCGUGCUUAACACAUGCAAGUCGAACGAGAAAUUUCCUGCUUGCAGGAGAGAGUAAAGUGGCGCACGGGUGAGUAACACGUGGACAACCUACCUUCGAAUCCGGAACAACAUUGCGAAAGCGAUGCUAAUACCGGAUGAUGUCGUUUUUACUCUGGUAAUUACGACCAAAGACAGCCUCUGCUUGAAUGCUGUUGUUUGAAGAUGGGUCCGCGUACCAUUAGCUUGUUGGUGGGGUAACGGCCUACCAAGGCUACGAUGGUUAGCUGGUCUGAGAGGAUGAUCAGCCACACUGGAACUGACACACGGUCCAGACUCCUACGGGAGGCAGCAGUGAGGAAUUUUGCGCAAUGGGGGAAACCCUGACGCAGCAACGCCGCGUGAGUGAUGAAGGCCCUUGGGUCGUAAAGCUCUGUCAAGUGGAAAGAAACUGUAAGAUGCUAAUACCAUUUUGCACUGACGGUACCACUGAAGGAAGCACCGGCUAACUCCGUGCCAGCAGCCGCGGUAAUACGGGGGGUGCAAGCGUUAUUCGGAAUUAUUGGGCGUAAAGCGAGUGCAGGCGGUUUGUUAAGUCAGAUGUGAAAGCCCGGGGCUCAACCCCGGAAGUGCAUUUGAAACUGGCAGGAUUGAGUCGUGCAAGGGAGGGCGGAAUUCCUGGUGUAGCGGUGAAAUGCGUAGAUAUCAGGAGGAAGGCCGGUGGUGAAGACGGCCCUCUAGGCAAUGACUGACGCUGAGGCGCGAAAGCGUGGGUAGCAAACAGGAUUAGAUACCCUGGUAGUCCACGCCCUAAACGGUGCGUACUAGGUGUGGGUGGCGAUAGUCAUCCGUGCCGUAGGGAAACCAUUAAGUACGCCGCCUGGGGAGUACGGCCGCAAGGUUAAAACUCAAAGAAAUUGACGGGGGCCCGCACAAGCGGUGGAGCAUGUGGUUUAAUUCGACGCUACGCGCAAAACCUUACCUGGGCUUGACAUGUUAGUAGUAGUGAACCGAAAGGGGAACGAUUCCUAGCAAUAGGAAAGCUAUCACAGGUGCUGCAUGGCUGUCGUCAGCUCGUGCCGUGAGGUGUUGGGUUAAGUCCCGCAACGAGCGCAACCCUCAUCCUCUGUUGCCCUUAACGGGGAUCUCUGAGGAAACUGCCGGCGAAGAGCUGGAGGAAGGUGGGGAUGACGUCAAGUCCGCAUGGCCCUUAUGCCCAGGGCUACACACGUGCUACAAUGGUAGAUACAGAGGGUGGCCAAGCCGCGAGGUGGAGCCAAUCCCACAAAGUCUAUCCAAGUUGGGAUCGGAGUCUGCAACUCGACUCCGUGAACCUGGAAUCGCUAGUAAUCGUGGAUCAGCACGCCACGGUGAAUACGUUCCCGGGCCUUGUACACACCGCCCGUCACACCACGAAAGUCUGUUGUACCCGAAGUAGGUGAGCCAACCCGCAAGGGAGGCAGCUUCCUAAGGUAUGGCCGGUAAUUGGGGUGAAGUCGUAACAAGGUAACC
This 1523-nucleotide ribosomal RNA is filed under the name uncultured prokaryote. RNAcentral describes it as "partial 16S ribosomal RNA". It matches the Rfam family "Bacterial small subunit ribosomal RNA". The record is from RNAcentral.